This 2846-nucleotide long non-coding RNA is filed under the name Taeniopygia guttata (zebra finch). RNAcentral describes it as "lncRNA (ENSTGUG00000024742.1)". Lineage: Eukaryota; Metazoa; Chordata; Aves; Passeriformes; Estrildidae. The record is from RNAcentral.
AUGGAUAAAUCCGGGAAUUCUGUGGUUUGGGUGAAAUGGGAUAAAUCCGGGAAUUCCGUGGUUUGGGUGAAAUGGGAUAAAUCCGGGAAUUCCAUGGAUUGGGUGAAAUGGGAUAAAUUCGGGAAUUCUGGCGGGGUUUGGGUGAAAUGGGAUAAAUUUGGGAAUUCUGGCGGGGUUUGGGUGAAAUGGGAUAAAUUUGGGAAUUCCGUGGUUUGGGUGAAAUGGGAUAAAUUUGGGAAUUCUGGCGGGGUUUGGGUGAAAUGGGAUAAAACCCCCCUUCUGAACCCCAAAAAUAACCCCUGGAACCCCCUUAACCCCCUCUGACUCUGCCAAACAUGUUGAAAUCUCUUUUGAACCCCCAAAAAAACCUCUGAACACCAUUCAAUCCCUCCCUGAACUCCUAAAAACCCCCAAAUGCCUCUCUGAACCCCCUUUUUAACCCCUUACACCCCUCCUCUGAGCCCCCCCAAACAACUUGGAACCCAUUUAAGGCCCCUGAAUCCCCUUUUAAACCCCCUUAAAUCUUCUGAACUCACUUAAAUCCCCUUUUGAGCAUCUAAAAAAGCCCUUUAAACCAACUUAAACCCCACCUGAGCCCCUUUAGACUCCUCUGAACUCACCUAAAGCUUUUUAAACCCCCCUUAAACCUCUUUUCAAAAGCCUAAAAAAUCCCUUUGACACCCUUAAACCCUGUUGAACUCCCUUGAAUCCCCUCUUAAAGCCCCUUAAACUCCUCUGAACGCCCUUGAUCUCCCAAAAAGACCCUUAAAAACCUUUAUAAACCCCUUUAGAUCCAGCUGAACCCCUUCUAGCCCCCUUAAACCCCCUUAAAACCCACAAAAACCCCCUCUGAACCCCAAAACACCCCACAACCCUUAAAAACCCCACUUUGAACCUCCCUGAAUCCCCCAAAAAACCCUCUGAGCCCCCUUAAACCUGUCUGAAUGACUAAAACCCACAAAAAAACCCCUCUUAAACCCAAAACACCCCGUAACCCCUAAAAACCCCACUUUGAACUUCCCUGAAUCCCCCAAAAACCCCUCUGAGCCCCCUUAAACCUGUCUGAAUGACUAAAACCCACAAAAACCCCCUCUGAACCCCAAAACACCCCAUAACCCCUAAAAACCCCACUUUGAACCUCCCUGAAUCCCCCAAAAACCCCUCUGAGCCCCCUUAAACCCCUUUUUAAAACUCUCCUGAACCCCUAAACCCCAUAAAAACCCCUCUGAACCCUUUUCAACUCAAAAAACUCCCUCAACGCCCCCAAAACCACUAAAAAUCCCACUUUGAGCCCGCUUAAACUGCCCCCCACCAGAGGACAGGUGACCCCCAGGAGCACCAGGGGACUCUCAACCCCCAAAAGUGGAGGGGGUCAGACCCCAGUGUGGGAAAACUGUGGGAAAAGCCAAUGGUGAAAUCAAAAAUUCAGGAAAAUAACGGGGUGGCAGCAGCUGGAUUGGGGGAUUUGGGUCCCUGCGACGCCGGGGUCUGGGAGCAUCCAGGUGAGCAGGUCCUGAAGGCACAGACCAGGACAGGUGAGCAGCUCCAGGGGCUCAGAUCCCACCAGGUGAGCAGCUCCAGGUGAGCAGAUCCCACAGUCUGCAGGGUCCAGGUGAGCAGAAUGCAGAUUUGGGGCACAGACCCCACCCCACAUCCCGAUUUUCCCCCACUCCUGCCUCUUCUCAGGCUGGAAUUGCUCUUGGUCCUGGUUGGUCUCACCUGGCUGAAGCCAAAAAAAAGAGGGAAAAGCCCCAAAAAUGAGAAGUUUCAUCCCAAGACAGAUCCCAGAGCCACAGGAAGGUCCGGAGCACAGGUGGGUUUUCCAUGAAUCCCAGUCCAAGGAAGGGCUGCAGGGCCCAGGUGAGUCUGGAGAAGCUGAAUCCAUCCCAGUCUGACCAGUUUGAUGCCAGUGGAGAUGAAGGAGCACAGGUGAGCAGGAAGCACCUGAGGAGCAGCACAGGGAGUUGCAGGUGCUCCAGGAAGUUCACCAGGAACAGCAAAUCCACGGGGGACACCAGGAGCCAGACACCUGAGCACACCUGAGCACACCUGAGGGAUCCUGCUGGCAUGGUGGGAUGGAUCCUGAGGGCUGGAACGGCAGGAACAGGUUCUUUGGGAAACACAGCCAGGUGAGGCUCACCUGGCAUGGGCAAGGAGGCAGCUGGAUGCCCAGAGCCCACCUGAGGUGGGUCAGGAUCACAGGUAGGGGACAGGGACACUCCUGCACCCUCACAUCCCAAAUCCUGGUCCUUGGAGGGGCAGCUGCUGGAGGCACCUCCCAUGAACAUCUCAGGAGGUUCCUGCAGGUACCAGGAUCAGUUCAGGUGAUGGAGGAGCCAGCCAUGAACAUCUCAGGAGGUUCCUGCAGGUACCAGGAUCAGUUCAGGUGAUGGAGGAGCCAGUGAGGAAGUUGGUUCAACCCCCAAAAUUUUCCAGGUGAGUUUGGGGACUCUUGGCUCUCUUGUGCCAGUUCCAGGUGUUUCCAAAUCCAUCCCAGCUGCAGGUGAGUGGGAGCAUGGUCUGGAUGAGGUGGGACGGGAGGCCCAGGUGAAACAUUCAUUAAACAAACAGGAAUUAGGGAAAAAAGGGCUUUUCCCUUAAAAACAAGGAAAGUGGAGGCAGCCAUGGGAUCCAGGACGCUCCAGCUCAGGUGAGUCCUGGCACAGGUAAUCUCUGCCAGGUGGGAUGGAGAACAGGAGGGAUCUGAGAGGCUGCAGCUCAGCUGAGUCCUGGCACAGGUGACCCCAACCAGGUGAGUGAAGGACUCCUGGCCCUGGGCCAGGGACACCCUCUGUCCAGAGCCACCCCCACCAAUUAAAUAAUCAAUCCAUGGAAUAAAUAAUGGA